This 637-nucleotide small RNA is filed under the name Pongo abelii (Sumatran orangutan). RNAcentral's name for it is "processed transcript". The record is from RNAcentral. Lineage: Eukaryota; Metazoa; Chordata; Mammalia; Primates; Hominidae.
UUACAGGGUGAAGUUGAACAAAUUGCUAUGAUGAAACCAAAAGGCCAGACUGAACAUGAUGAGGUUAAACAGGGUAAAGAUGGUGGAAAAGGAAAAGGAUGCCUUAGAAGGAGAGAAAAACAUAGCUAUCGAAUUUCUUACCUUGGAAAAUGAAAUAUUUAGAAAAAAGAAUCAUGUUUGUCAAUAUUAUAUUUAUGAGUUGCAGAAACGAAUUGCUGAAAUGGAAACUCAAAAGGAAAAAAUUCAUGAAGACACCAAAGAAAUUAAUGAGAAGAGCAAUAUACUAUCAAAUGAAAUGAAAGCUAAGAAUAAAGAUGUAAAAGAUAUAGAAAAGAAACUGAAUAAAAUUAAAAAAUUUAUUGAGGAGAAUAAAGAAAAAUUUACACAGCUAGAUUUGGAAGAUGUUCAAGUUAGAGAAAAAUUAAAACAUGCAACGAGUAAAGCCAAAAAACUGGAGAAACAACUUCAAAAAGAUAAAGAAAAGGUUGAAGAAUUUAAAAGUAUACCUGCCAAGAGUAACAAUAUCAUUAAUGAAACAACAGCCAGAAACAAUGCCCUCGAGAAGGAAAAAGAGAAAGAAGAAAAAAAAUUAAAGGAAGUUAUGGAUAGCCUUAAACAGGAAACACAAGGGCUUCAG